RNAcentral lists this ribosomal RNA (853 nucleotides) under marine metagenome. Its description in RNAcentral is "bacterial SSU rRNA". It matches the Rfam family "Bacterial small subunit ribosomal RNA", at positions 53 to 910 of the family's 1533-position model. The record is from RNAcentral.
ACAUGCAAGUCGAACGGUAACAGAGGAGCUUGCUCUUGCUGACGAGUGGCGAACGGGUGCGUAACGCGUAUGCAACCUACCUCUUAUUAAGGGAUAGCUCAAAGAAAUUUGAAUUAAUACCUUAUAAUAUCUUAAAGCCGCAUGGUUUAAAGAUUAAAGAACUUCGAUAAGAGAUGGGCAUGCGUGAUAUUAGCUAGUUGGUAAGGUAACGGCUUACCAAGGCAACGAUAUCUAGGGGGUCUGAGAGGAUGAUCCCCCACACUGGUACUGAGACACGGACCAGACUCCUACGGGAGGCAGCAGUGAGGAAUAUUGGACAAUGGGCGCAAGCCUGAUCCAGCCAUGCCGCGUGAAGGAUGAAUGCCCUAUGGGUUGUAAACUUCUUUUAUACAGGAAGAAACCUUUGGAUUUAUCCAGAGCUGACAUUACUGUACGAAUAAGCAUCGGCUAACUCCGUGCCAGCAGCCGCGGUAAUACGGAGGAUGCAAGCGUUAUCCGGAUUUAUUGGGUUUAAAGGGUCCGUAGGCGGAACUUUAAGUCAGUGGUGAAAGCCUACAGCUCAACUGUAGAACUGCCAUUGAUACUGAAGUUCUUGAAUAUAUAUGAAGUGGGCGGAAUGCGUCAUGUAGCGGUGAAAUGCACAGAUAUGACGCAGAACACCAAUUGCGAAGGCAGCUCACUAAUGUAUUAUUGACGCUGAGGGACGAAAGCAUGGGGAGCGAACAGGAUUAGAUACCCUGGUAGUCCAUGCCGUAAACGAUGAUUACUCGGUAUUAGUCUGACUAGUGCCUAAGCGAAAGUGAUAAGUAAUCCACCUGGGGAGUACGCUCGCAAGAGUGAAACUCAAAGGAAU